Molecule: long non-coding RNA, 532 nt
Filed under: Gallus gallus (chicken)
Lineage: Eukaryota; Metazoa; Chordata; Aves; Galliformes; Phasianidae
Source: RNAcentral
GGUGUUUAACCAUUCAGUUAGCCAGAAGUUCUAAAGAGUAUUUUAAGUUGUUUCUUCUGCAGGUGCUCUUCGCUGCCGAGCAGAUUUCUGUCUGCCUCUCUGUGGUGAGGGUGGAGUCUCCUGUUCAGCUUCUGUCUCCGAAGUCUCGUUGUCCCCUUGCUGGGAACCCGUAUCACCUAUCAAUUCUCUCAGGAACUUGAAUUUAGACAGAAACAAUUGCCAGACCACAUACCAGCCGCAGAGCAUGAAGAGCAGCACGCAGGCCAGGGUGGCCACGAUCACCAGCAGGGUCAGCCCGAUGCUCUGCCACAUGCUGCCGGGCCCUUCCCCACCGCCAGGUGCGGGGCCCAACUCCCGACGGCGGCUCGGCGGCCCGCUCGCCCCUCACGCAGGGUCCGACACAGACCGGAGGCGCCGCGGGGCACGGACAAAAGCCCGAAGGCUACAGGGCGCGGGCCGCGCCUCGCAUAGCUGCCCACCGCCCCGGAGGAAGAACCAGCAGAGCCCAGCGCCAGCCGUGCCGGCGGCGGGG